Molecule: ribosomal RNA, 1275 nt
Filed under: Nucleospora salmonis
Lineage: Eukaryota; Fungi; Microsporidia; Enterocytozoonidae
Description: SSU rRNA
Rfam family: Microsporidia small subunit ribosomal RNA
Source: RNAcentral
CACCAGGUUGAUUCUGCCUGACGUGGGUGCUAGCCUCUAAGAUUUAGCCAUGCAUGCUUUGUGAACCCAGACGGGGGAACGGCGAACGGCUCAGUAAUGUUGCGGUGAUCUGCUCUGGUUGAGAAAGAUAACCACGGUAAACUGUGGCUAAGAGACCAGAAUGAGCUGCAACCCUAUCAGUUUGUUGGAAGUGUAAAAGACUCCCAAGACGUCGACGGGUAACGGGAAAUCAGUGUUUGAUUCCGGAGAGGGAGCCUGAGAGAUGGCUCCCACGUCCAAGGAUGGCAGCAGGCGCGAAAAUUGUCCACUCUUUGGAGAGGAGACAGUUAUGAGGCGUGAUUAAAAGAGCGAAGUGUAAACACCUUCGUGUAACGCAAUUGGAGGGCAAGUUUUGGUGCCAGCAGCCGCGGUAAUUCCAACUCCAAGAGUGCCCAUGGUGGAUGCUGCAGUUAAAAAGUCCGUAGUCGUAGAUGCAAUUAAAGGGUGCGGAUCAAGCGCACUGAGUUUGUUGAGUUGUAGCGGAGCGGAUAGGGAGCAUGGUAUAGGUUGGCGAAGAAUGAAAUCUCAAGACCCAACCUGGACCAACUGAGGCGAAAGCGGUGCUCUUAUACGCAUCCGAGGAUCAAGGACGAAGGCUGGAGGAUCGAAAGUGAUUAGAUACCGCUGUAGUUCCAGCAGUAAACUAUGCCGACAUUCUCUGUCCAGCGGACGGGGAAGGGAGAAAUCUUAGUUUUCGGGCUCUGGGGAUAGUACGCUUGCAAGAGUGAAACUUAAAGCGAAAUUGACGGAAGGACACUACCAGGAGUGGAUUGUACUGCUUAAUUUGACUCAACGCGGGAAAACUUACCAGGGUCAAGUUCUCCGUAGAUCGAGUACGUGAGGGGAACGAGAGUGGUGCAUGGCCGUUGGAAAUUGAUGGGAUGACUUUUAGCUUAAAUGCUGAAACCAGUGAGAUCUUCUAGACAGGUGCCAUCCGGCACAGGAGGGCGAAGGCGAUAACAGGUCCGUGAUGCCCUUAGAUAUCCUGGGCUGCAAGUGCAAUACAAUAUCCAUGUCGAUCAAGAAAGGUGAUUAUGGAUGAGCAGGAUUAGCUCUUGUAAAUGAGCUAUGAAUGAGGAAUUCCUAGUAACAGUGUCUCACUAAGGCAUUGUGAAUGCGUCCCUGUUCUUUGUACACACCGCCCGUCACUAUUUCAGAUGGCCAUGAAGAUGAAGAGCUUCGGUUCUGAAUAUUCAUGUCUAGAUAAAGUACAAGUCGUAACAUGGUUGCUGUUGG